Molecule: ribosomal RNA, 459 nt
Filed under: uncultured bacterium
Lineage: Bacteria
Description: partial 16S ribosomal RNA
Rfam family: Bacterial small subunit ribosomal RNA
Source: RNAcentral
CCUACGGGAGGCAGCAGUGAGGAAUAUUGGUCAAUGGACGAGAGUCUGAACCAGCCAAGUAGCGUGAAGGAUGACUGCCCUAUGGGUUGUAAACUUCUUUUAUAAAGGAAUAAAACGAGGCACGUGUGCCUUUUGCAUGUACUUUAUGAAUAAGGAUCGGCUAACUCCGUGCCAGCAGCCGCGGUAAUACGGAGGAUCCGAGCGUUAUCCGGAUUUAUUGGGUUUAAAGGGAGCGUAGAUGGGUUGUUAAGUCAGUUGGGAAAGUUUGCGGCUUAACCGUAAAAUUGCAAUUGAUACUGGCAGUCUUGAGUACAGGUGAGGUAGGCGGAAUUCGUGGUGUAGCGGUGAAAUGCUUAGAUAUCACGAAGAACCCCGAUUGCGAAGGCAGCUUACUAAACUGUGACUGACAUUGAUGCUCGAAAGUGUGGGUAUCAAACAGGAUUAGAUACCCGAGUAGUC